GGAGCAGUAGUUCAGUUGGUUAGAAUACCGGCCUGUCACGCCGGGGGUCGCGGGUUCGAGUCCCGUCUGUUCCGCCA
RNAcentral lists this transfer RNA (77 nucleotides) under Litoribacillus peritrichatus. Its description in RNAcentral is "tRNA-Asp". It matches the Rfam family "tRNA". From Rfam's summary of the family: Transfer RNA (tRNA) molecules are approximately 80 nucleotides in length. Their secondary structure includes four short double-helical elements and three loops (D, anti-codon, and T loops). The record is from RNAcentral. RNAcentral also lists the same sequence under 4 other names. Lineage: Bacteria; Pseudomonadati; Pseudomonadota; Gammaproteobacteria; Oceanospirillales; Oceanospirillaceae.